AAAUGGGUGAAAUUGAACAUAAAACAUAAAACGCUGCGUCGAGCGACUUGUUUUUUGUUAUUUUCCAGUUUAUAGAAAGCGAUUUUUUUUUGUUCCCGGUCAGGAUAUUUAAGUUCCCCGUGUCUGAUCAGAAUUGGGAAAGUGGAUUCCCAGAAUGUUGCUGAUCCUUUUUUCCAUUUCCCUGUGUUUUUCCUGGGUCUCUCCCGACACUAAUGUGCUCACUAUGGUAUACACGGCAGUCUCUGGCAUUGAAAAAUUUCCUGCUUUCAGCGGUGUUGCAAUGAUCAAUGGAGUUGAAGUUGAUUAUUAUGACAGCAAUAUCCGUCAGAUGAUGCCCAGACAACAAUUCAUGGCAGAUUCAUUCAGUGAGGACUUCUGGAAAAUGCUCACAGAUAUCGGGAAUUCACGAACAGACACGGCAAUAGAGAAUCUGAAUUUAAUCAUGAAGAACAUGAACCAGACUUCUGGAAUUCACACGCUCCAAUGGAUACGUUCUGUUGAGGUCAGUGAUGACGGCUCCAUGAAAAGAUCGAUGAGAUUUGGAUUUGACGGAAAAGAUUUCAUUAGUUUAGAGCCAGACAGAAUGAGAUGGGUUGCAACCAAUCACUUUGCAGUGAAGCUGAAGGAGAAAUGGGAUUCUGAUGAAUCCUGGAACAACUACUGGGAAAGAUAUUUGUUAGGUGUAUAUAUCCAACGUUUGAAGCAAUAUCUUGAAGCUGGAAAGGAAUAUUUCAAAAGGAAAGUUCAGCCUGAAGUGUUCAUCUUCAGGAGUGAGCCCAAUCGCCAAGACAAGCCGCUCACUCUCUCCUGCCUGGUCACUGGAUUUUAUCCUGCAGACAUCGAGGUGACCUGGCUGAGGAAUGGAGAGGUCCUGUCUGAGACACAAUCCUCGGGGAUUCGACCGAACCAUGACGGGACUCAUCAGAUCCGGAAGGAGAUUGAAAUCAGUGCUGGGGAUGAAGAUCAAUAUUCCUGUCAAAUUGAACACAGCAGCCUGGCAGAGGCCAAACUCUAUCAGUGGCGUAAGAAUCUAGAUAAAAUGUGUGUUCGUAUAAGAACAUGGGUUUACGUUUAGCCCCUUGAGUCUGUUCCAGCAUUCAGUUAGGUCCUGUCUGAUUUGUCCCUCACUUCCUUCACUCAACAUUGUUCCAGGUUUCUUCCUACCCUUCCCCAACAAAACCCUCCUGAUGUCAGGCUGGAAGCAUUCAGUUGUUUAUAUGAACAAUAAAUAUGUUAAGAGGGUAGCCUAGACCCUAACUUUUCCCUUUUGUUCCAGAUGCAGUUUUAAGGGUCAAAGUACCCGUUUAGCAAAACAUAAUUUAUUCAAAUACAAUUGCUAAAAUGAAACAAAAGAAAGAAAAAACUUGGAAUAGUGUAACUCUAUUGGAAUAGUUAACAGAAUAAUAGAUACAGUAACUAUUGCUCAUUAACUGUUCCAAUAUAGUAGCAUCCCAUAAGCAAAUGCUUGGUAAAAGGCAAAUUUGAAAAUAGAUUUGUCUCACAUGCAAUCCAGCAGCCCAGGAAGAGAACACCCAGCUUUUGACUGUAAUUAAGGGAAGGAAGAAUGCCUGCCAUUUCUUCACGACCGCCAUCAUCAAGUGCUGCUGAAUAUUACAACCAAGAAUUGCUUGCCUCUGUGAGUGGGAGCUUGGCUACACCAAUUCAGGCUGCUUCUAUUGUUCCAGUUUCUAAAAAGAAACCACUCAAGGCUUCACAAGUUACUUAUUUUUCUCCUAGUCUGCUCAGCAUCUGUCUUCCAAGAAACCAAAAGAAAACACACCUCUAAAGCUGCAGCAUUGGCACACUCACAACAUUUUGGUGAGACAAUUCCAGACUUCGACUCCCAUUUUUCAGAAAAAGUGCUUUCUAAUAUCACUCUUAAAAGACCUCAUUGUUACUUGAAGAUUGUUCUCUCUUAUACCGGAGUAUAUCACCAGAUCUUUUUACACUCUCAUCAAUCAGAUCUUUGGUGACUUCACUGGAGAGUGAAAUCAGAAAUCUUUGAAAAUAGUGUGGAACGUUUCCAUCUUGCCAUUCUGAUUGGAUUAGUUACUGCAGUGUCGUCAAUAGUCGGAAUAAUCAUCUGG
RNA transcript from Stegostoma tigrinum, 2087 nucleotides. It is a transcript of the gene named class I histocompatibility antigen, F10 alpha chain-like, with no coding region annotated. Lineage: Eukaryota; Metazoa; Chordata; Chondrichthyes; Orectolobiformes; Stegostomatidae. The transcript is spliced from 5 exons. The record is from RefSeq and is a predicted model, not a curated record.